AGAGUUUGAUCCUGGCUCAGAUUGAACGCUGGCGGCAUGCCUUACACAUGCAAGUCGAACGGCAGCACGGACUUCGGUCUGGUGGCGAGUGGCGAACGGGUGAGUAAUAUAUCGGAACGUACCCUGGAGUGGGGGAUAACGCAGCGAAAGUUGCGCUAAUACCGCAUACGAUCUACGGAUGAAAGUGGGGGAUCGCAAGACCUCAUGCUCGUGGAGCGGCCGAUAUCUGAUUAGCUAGUUGGUAGGGUAAAAGCCUACCAAGGCUUCGAUCAGUAGCUGGUCUGAGAGGACGACCAGCCACACUGGGACUGAGACACGGCCCAGACUCCUACGGGAGGCAGCAGUGGGGAAUUUUGGACAAUGGGGGCAACCCUGAUCCAGCAAUGCCGCGUGAGUGAAGAAGGCCUUCGGGUUGUAAAGCUCUUUUGUCAGGGAAGAAACGGUGAAGGCUAAUACUCUUUGCUAAUGACGGUACCUGAAGAA
Molecule: ribosomal RNA, 483 nt
Filed under: uncultured bacterium
Lineage: Bacteria
Description: bacterial SSU rRNA
Rfam family: Bacterial small subunit ribosomal RNA
Source: RNAcentral